Molecule: ribosomal RNA, 443 nt
Filed under: uncultured bacterium
Lineage: Bacteria
Description: partial 16S ribosomal RNA
Rfam family: Bacterial small subunit ribosomal RNA
Source: RNAcentral
CCUACGGGAGGCAGCAGUGGGGAAUAUUGGGCAAUGGACGAAACUCUGACCCAGCAACGCCGCGUGAAUGAUGAAGGUUUUCGGAUUGUAAAGUUCUUUUCUAAGGGAAGAAGAAAGUGACGGUACCUUAGGAAUAAGCCUCGGCUAACUACGUGCCAGCAGCCGCGGUAAUACGUAGGUGGCGAGCGUUAUCCGGAAUGACUGGGUGUAAAGGGGGCGUAGGUGGGAAGGCAAGUUAGUAGCGAAACUCCAAGGCUCAACCUUGGGACUGCUACUAAAACUGUUUGACUUGAGUGCAGGAGAGGCAACCGGAAUUCCUAGUGUAGCGGUGAAAUGCGUAGAUAUUAGGAGGAACACCAGUGGCGAAGGCGGGUUGCUGGACUGUAACUGACGCUGAGGCACGAAAGCGUGGGGAGCAAACAGGAUUAGAUACCCUUGUAGUC